This 450-nucleotide ribosomal RNA is filed under the name uncultured bacterium. RNAcentral's name for it is "partial 16S ribosomal RNA". It matches the Rfam family "Bacterial small subunit ribosomal RNA", at positions 354 to 796 of the family's 1533-position model. The record is from RNAcentral.
GUGGGGAAUCUUCCGCAAUGGACGAAAGUCUGACGGAGCAACGCCGCGUGAGUGAAGAAGGUUUUCGGAUCGUAAAGCUCUUUCGUUAGGGACGAACGUGCUCUUUGUGAAUAAUGAGGAGUAAUGACGGUACCUAAAUAAGAAGCCACGGCUAACUACGUGCCAGCAGCCGCGGUAAUACGUAGGUGGCAAGCGUUGUCCGGAAUUAUUGGGCGUAAAGCGCGCGCAGGCGGGAUAUCAAGUCUGUCUUAAAAGUGCGAGGCUCAACCUCGUGAGGGGACAGAAACUGGUAUUCUUGAGUGUCGGAGAGGAAAGUGGAAUUCCAAGUGUAGCGGUGAAAUGCGUAGAGAUUUGGAAGAACACCAGUGGCGAAGGCGACUUUCUGGACGAUGUCUGACGCUGAGGCGCGAAAGCUAGGGGAGCGAACGGGAUUAGAAGCCCCAGUAGUCC